Molecule: ribosomal RNA, 253 nt
Filed under: uncultured bacterium
Lineage: Bacteria
Description: partial 16S ribosomal RNA
Rfam family: Bacterial small subunit ribosomal RNA
Source: RNAcentral
UACGUAGGGUGCGAGCGUUAAUCGGAAUUACUGGGCGUAAAGCGUGCGCAGGCGGCUUGCCAAGUCAGAUGUGAAAGCCCCGGGCUCAACCCAGGAACUGCGUUUGAAACUGGCAGGCUAGAGUUUGGCAGAGGGGGGUGGAAUUCCACGUGUAGCAGUGAAAUGCGUAGAGAUGUGGAGGAACACCGAUGGCGAAGGCAGCCCCCUGGGCCAAAACUGACGCUCAGGCACGAAAGCGUGGGGAGCAAACAGG